ACCCGUGUGUUUAGUCUAGCUGGCGAUAUUCUGCAUUGUUCAGCUCUUUCUGUGGUCUAAGAAACUGUAUUUACAGGAAUAUGUAUCUGUAAGAAGUGACUGUGUUAGAAGAGACUGUUUCGGGAAGCGGUGCAGUUUGUGUCGUCGUUGAAAAGAGUCGCAUUGUUAUCGUUUCCUCCAAAAAAUGCAGCUGCUUGUCCUUCAUGUGCUAAAAUGCGCUAGCAAGAGCUGCUGUUGACGGUAUCACAGUGUUACCUACUCAGAUGCCUUCUGCUCCCCGAUACGUCCAAAUAUGAUGAUGCCAACCCGGCCCCAGCGGAUCAGUGACAGUGAAUCCAAGACAGUGAAGCC
This is a long non-coding RNA of Sander lucioperca (pikeperch), 351 nucleotides long. RefSeq lists it as uncharacterized. The record is from RefSeq and is a predicted model, not a curated record. NCBI's taxonomy places the organism in Eukaryota, Metazoa, Chordata, Actinopteri, Perciformes, Percidae. The transcript has 3 exons.